GUAGCGCCUCGUGAAUUCAUCUCCGGGGGUAGAGCACUGUUUCGGCUAGGGGGCCAUCCCGGCUUACCAACCCGAUGCAAACUGCGAAUACCGGAGAAUGUUAUCACGGGAGACACACGGCGGGUGCUAACGUCCGUCGUGAAGAGGGAAACAACCCAGACCGCCAGCUAAGGUCCCAAAGUCAUGGUUAAGUGGGAAACGAUGUGGGAAGGCCCAGACAGCCAGGAUGUUGGCUUAGAAGCAGCCAUCAUUUAAAGAAAGCGUAAUAGCUCACUGGUCGAGUCGGCCUGCGCGGAAGAUGUAACGGGGCUAAACCAUGCAC
This 322-nucleotide ribosomal RNA is filed under the name Salmonella enterica subsp. diarizonae. RNAcentral describes it as "partial 23S ribosomal RNA". It matches the Rfam family "Bacterial large subunit ribosomal RNA", at positions 874 to 1194 of the family's 2925-position model. The record is from RNAcentral. Lineage: Bacteria; Pseudomonadati; Pseudomonadota; Gammaproteobacteria; Enterobacterales; Enterobacteriaceae.